GUACUGUGCAAACGUUAUUCGGAAUCACUGGGCUUAAAGGGUGCGUAGGCGGCCGAUUAAGUAGGGGUGUGAAUGCUCCGGGCUCAACCGGAGCACUGCGCUCUAAACUGGUCGGCUUGAGUGAGAUAGGGGUGUGCGGAACUUCCAGUGGAGCGGUGAAAUGUGUUGAUAUUGGAAGGAACGCCGGUGGCGAAAGCGGCACACUGGGCCUCAACUGACGCUGAGGCACGAAAGCCAGGGUAGCGAACGGGAUUAGAUACCCCGGUAGUCCUGGCUGUAAACGAUGAGCACUAGACGGGAGGGGCUUUACGCCUUUCCGGUCGCAGCGAAAGCACUAAGUGCUCCGCCUGGGGAGUAUGGUCGCAAGGCUG
Molecule: ribosomal RNA, 371 nt
Filed under: uncultured organism
Description: partial 16S ribosomal RNA
Rfam family: Bacterial small subunit ribosomal RNA
Source: RNAcentral